UUCUAAGUUCCUUUGGCCCAUCUUCCACCCAAAUUCAGCAUCCCCUUCCACAAUAUCUCUGCCAAGUAACCACCGAACUCUCUAUUUAAUUUGUCUUAGAGUGAAGAGGUCACUAGCUCAUAUGAUGAUUCAUUUUAUUGUUGCUCAGAGGCAAUGAAAUGCCUGGAGAGUCUGAAGACGCGAUGCAUAGAGUUGUAUCUUUGGAAGUGGAAUCAUAGGCUAUUGCCAUCUCUAUGUCCUUAUCGGUCAUAUAGUCAUAUACUAUGGCAUCAAGAAGAAUCCUCUAACCCAAGCUUCUCAUACAGAAGGAAUCAAGGGUCACCAUAGUUAAGAAGUGAGUUAACCAAGGUCACACAACAAAUUAGUGGUUGAACCAAGGCUAGAACUCAGGGGUCA
RNAcentral lists this long non-coding RNA (396 nucleotides) under Monodelphis domestica (gray short-tailed opossum). Its description in RNAcentral is "lncRNA (ENSMODG00000038064.1)". The record is from RNAcentral. Lineage: Eukaryota; Metazoa; Chordata; Mammalia; Didelphimorphia; Didelphidae.